CGACGGCGUGGGGAGCAGGAAGGGCGGCGAGUAGAAGCCGCUCUCGAGCGCGACGCCGCAGCAGGCGCAGGCGAGGUCCCGCUCGCCGAGCUCGCUCCGCCUCAUCCACGACAGCAGCGCCUUCCCGGACGGCGCCGCCGCGCCGCAGUCCUCGCACAUGUCGGCGGCGUCGGCGAGGCGGCGAGACGCGUCGAAGAGGCUGUCGACGGCGAGGCGGGAGCAGAGCGCGCAGGGCGGCGGCAGGCCGAAGAAGGCGGCGAAGCGGGCGAUGAGGUAGGAGAAGACGCCGUUGGCGAGGAGCAGCGCGAUGAGGAUCCACUCGAGGAGCGCGCGGGCGAGCAGCCGCGCGGCCCGGCCGCUCCUCCCGCACACGCCCGACGCCACGGCCGGCUCCGAGGCCAUCGAAUCUCCCCGCGGCUCUGUCUCCCGGCGACCGGAGGGAAUGCAACCGAUCGAUAG
Molecule: ribosomal RNA, 459 nt
Filed under: Triticum aestivum (bread wheat)
Lineage: Eukaryota; Viridiplantae; Streptophyta; Magnoliopsida; Poales; Poaceae
Description: partial small subunit ribosomal RNA
Source: RNAcentral